AAAGACAGUAGUUAAAUUCUACUAUUAAGGG
This 31-nucleotide transfer RNA is filed under the name Diadema mexicanum. RNAcentral describes it as "partial tRNA-Lys". Lineage: Eukaryota; Metazoa; Echinodermata; Echinoidea; Diadematoida; Diadematidae. The record is from RNAcentral.